Molecule: transfer RNA, 75 nt
Filed under: Hadesarchaea archaeon
Lineage: Archaea; Methanobacteriati; Hadarchaeota (SeqCode); Hadarchaeia (SeqCode)
Description: tRNA-Asn
Rfam family: tRNA
About the family: Transfer RNA (tRNA) molecules are approximately 80 nucleotides in length.
Source: RNAcentral
GCCGAUGCUGAGCCUGCCGAACGUGCCUGGCUGUUAACCAGGCGGUCAGAGGUUCGAGUCCUCUCCCCGGCGCCA